AGCAUAGUGCAGUGGUUUCUGUGUUGGACUGCAAUUCUGGAGAGCAGGGUUCGAUUCCCUGCUGAGCCA
Phrynosoma platyrhinos (Desert horned lizard) is the source of this 69-nucleotide non-coding RNA. Lineage: Eukaryota; Metazoa; Chordata; Lepidosauria; Squamata; Phrynosomatidae. The record is from the annotation of a GenBank genome assembly.